CCUACGGGAGGCAGCAGUAGGGAAUCUUCCGCAAUGGGCGAAAGCCUGACGGAGCAACGCCGCGUGAGUGAUGAAGGUCUUCGGAUCGUAAAACUCUGUUAUUAGGGAAGAACAAAUGUGUAAGUAACUAUGCACGUCUUGACGGUACCUAAUCAGAAAGCCACGGCUAACUACGUGCCAGCAGCCGCGGUAAUACGUAGGUGGCAAGCGUUAUCCGGAAUUAUUGGGCGUAAAGCGCGCGUAGGCGGUUUUUUAAGUCUGAGGUGAAAGCCCACGGCGCAACCGGGGAGGGUCAUUGGAAACUGGAAAACUUGAGGGCAGAAGAGGAAAGUGAAAUUCCAUGUGUAGCGGUGAAAUGCGCAGAGAUAUGGAGGAACACCAGUGGCGAAGGCGACUUUCUGGUCUGUAACUGACGCU
RNAcentral lists this ribosomal RNA (417 nucleotides) under uncultured Staphylococcaceae bacterium. RNAcentral's name for it is "partial 16S ribosomal RNA". It matches the Rfam family "Bacterial small subunit ribosomal RNA", at positions 338 to 747 of the family's 1533-position model. The record is from RNAcentral. Lineage: Bacteria; Bacillati; Bacillota; Bacilli; Caryophanales; Staphylococcaceae.